RNAcentral lists this ribosomal RNA (582 nucleotides) under uncultured Eustigmatophyceae. Its description in RNAcentral is "SSU rRNA". It matches the Rfam family "Eukaryotic small subunit ribosomal RNA", at positions 575 to 1159 of the family's 1831-position model. Lineage: Eukaryota; Eustigmatophyceae. The record is from RNAcentral.
CGCGGUAAUUCCAGCUCCAAUAGCGUAUACUAAAGUGUUGCAGUUAAAAAGCUCGUUUUUGGAUUUCUGGCGGGGACGGCUGGUCGGUCUCGAAAGGGGCUGUACUGUUGUUGGUUCCCGUCAUCCUUGGGGAGAGCGGCUCUUACAUUAAGUUGUCGGCGUCGGGAUCCCUAUCUUUUACUGUGAAAAAAUUAGAGUGUUCAAAGCAGGCUUAGGCCCUGAAUACAUUAGCAUGGAAUAAUAAGAUACGACCUUGGUGGUCUAUUUUGUUGGUUUGCACGCCAAGGUAAUGAUUAAUAGGGAUAGUUGGGGGUAUUCGUAUUCAAUUGUCAGAGGUGAAAUUCUUGGAUUUAUGGAAGGCGAACUACUGCGAAAGCAUUUACCAAGGAUGUUUUCAUUAAUCAAGAACGAAAGUUAGGGGAUCGGAGAUGAUUAGAUACCAUCGUAGUCUUAACCAUAAACUAUGCCGACUAGGGAUCGGUGGGUGCAUUUUUAGGCCUCAUCGGCACCUUAUGAGAAAUCAAAGUCUUUGGGUUCCGGGGGGAGUAUGGUCGCAAGGCUGAAACUUAAAGAAAUUGACGG